GGACCUUCUUGCUGUUUGGUGACAGAAAC
Molecule: non-coding RNA, 29 nt
Filed under: Rattus norvegicus (Norway rat)
Lineage: Eukaryota; Metazoa; Chordata; Mammalia; Rodentia; Muridae
Source: RNAcentral